GGUUGAAAUCAUCUAUCUAGAACCCUCGGUCCGGGUUCAUCAGGGGUCGAAACUCAAGUCUCUUGAACCACUCUCCCACAGAUUCCUUGACCCAUCUAGAGGGAGGGAGAGAGAGAGAGAGAGAGAGAGAGAGAAGAGAGAAGAGAGAGCUCUUUUUCAAAAUAGAACUCCUCUCUCUCUUCCUCCCAAACAUGGCCAUGCGUCCCAUGGCUAGCGACCCCACACCAUCUGAUGGUGAGGACUCAGGGACGCAGCUAUGGACACCAUCUCGACAACAACCACCGCUAGCGGUGACUGGCAAAGCAAAGGAAAAGGAAGUAUCCUAUUCAACCAACCGAUAGCGACAUGUGGAGAAUAGGGAAAAGAAAGAGAAAAGGUGAGGGUGGCUAUCUCGGUCCAGCGACACCCAAGGGAAGAGAUUCGGCAAUAUUUUUGGCAAAACCAAAAGGAAAAAUUCGAAGGAUAACUCGGAGAUCGGCAGGUGAUAUCUUGAGAAAUCAGUGAUGGAGUCCGUGGGAGAAGAAAAGGCCUUCUUAUAGGUUUAGUUUCUAUGGUUUUUAGCCUAGAUUAGGCAACGUCGCCCCAAUCUUGUCGGAAUUGGGAAAGAAGACUCCUGAUCGGAGUCUUCUUCCUCCCCUCUAGUCACCUACCGAGCAAGCGUUUCCCAUGGGGUUGAGCCUCUUCAGGCCGGCUCAUGGGCUAAAAGUUGGGUCAUUACAAUGGUACUGAUGCAGGGUCUAGUACCAAGAUGGCGAACCUUGAUUGACUGUCAAGAAGCUAGUUCAUAUAACUUUAUCUUUAAUGCUUGCCAUGUUUGUUUUCCCAAUUUUUUGUUGUUUCUAUUUUUUGUUCUUUAGUUAGGCAUCCAGUUUAUUUAUUUUAUUAUGUAUGUAUGUUGAACUUUCCAAGAUGUGCUUGUACAUCUAUUUUUCUAAUCUUUGUGGUUCUUCUACUUCUACUCUAGUUGUGAUAAUGUGUUUUUACUUUUAUUCUAUGGUAGUAAACUGAUAUUUUAUAUAGUUCACAUUAUAAGACAGAAAAGGACAAGGAAAAAGUGAGGGGCAAAGGCAAGGAAAGACAAUAUUGUGUUUUUACAUCUAUUACUAUAGUAUUUGUGGUUCUUCUAGCGGCAUCACCAUUGGCUUCAUUAGUCAUUAAAAAGUUAAAUGCUUUAUGAUGUGAUUAUGUUUCAAUAACUUUAAUCAGUGGUGGCUUUUCUUCAGUGUGAUCUGCUAGAGCAGUUCAUGUCUUUCAGAGAAGCCAUGUUUUUCAGAACAGCCAUAUCUUUCAUCUUCUCUUCUGCAUUGCUUAGGUUGUAUAGAAUGAUUGGUUCGCUUUCGUGAAAUCAUGACAUAUCUGAACUUCCAAUGGACUGCUUGUACCUUGUUUGUGCACUUGAGUUUGGCAGGUUCUAAGAAUGCCCUGAGGAUAAUAAUCAAUGAUUCUCCAUCAAGCCAAGUAUAUAAAUUCGGACAACGUUUGCAUGAGAAUUUCUGUUGAUUGUUUUAAUCAUCUCUUGUCUCCUAUUGUAUCUAAUUAUUAUAAUCUUGGUAAACUCAACCAUUAGGCCAUUUUCGUUCAUAAAUUAUUUAUCUAUGAUAAAGCUUCGGAAUCCUUUCUACUUUCUAGUUUCUACUGAAACAUGAUAGGUGUUCACACUCCACAAGAGCAACUAUACGUAUAAUAUGUUACUUUAAUUAAACUCCAUGUUGCAGGUUAAAAAUGGGGAAAACAAGACUUCAUUCGAAUGUCAUUUUCUUACUAGAUAGUUUCUUACUAUUAUUGGUUGGAAUAGGAGCUCAGGUACCCUAUGUCAUGCUCAUGUGCUAGUUGCGGAUGCCAAUUUACCUGCUCAUAAUCGUGUUUUUGAUUGAAAGCAUUGGCGUGGAAAGGUAGGCAUGGCCUGCUAUGUUACAAUAGGAGAAACCUAUUCUGUUACAUGUUUUGUACUGUAACUUGGAAAUAAACAUGUUGUGAACACUUGAAAAGAAUCUUGACUAUCACAUAGCAUUACAGAAUUAAGAAAAGAACCUAAACUUUCAUCUAUACCAUUUAAGAGAAAACUUUAAAGGUAACCUUACAUAAAGUAUCAUUAUAUAGAAUUAACAAUCUGAGGCAGACAAGGAGUUGAAAUUUUAAAGCAAAAACUUGAUUUUCCAAUUAUAUUAAUUAGUUAAGAUAAUUUGAAUAGUCAAUGUUUUGAGCAAGGUUUAAAAUAUCAAUACCAAGCACAAUACUGGUUUUGUCCCAUGUCAGGACGAUACGAUGCUACCAUCUUGACUCAUGGGAUAGCCUAGCAUCCCAGUAAGGAAGCCUUUUUUUUUUUCUUUUUUGUCCUAAAUGAAUAUUUGACUAAAUACUGAUAUGUUCUUGGGGAGGUUUUCAAUAUUGAGGGGACUAGAUAAUUUUGAGGGCAGGCCAAACCUGCCCUCCUUGCUCCUCUUUGUCCUCUGUGUGUGUGUGUGUCUGUCUGUCUUGACCUUUUUCUUGCCCUGACCGCUUGUGACUAACAUAGGGAAAACAGAUCAUGUGCCCCCCAACCCCCACUUUAUUUUGAAAUCAAAUGAUCUGGUUGGGUCACACCCGGUUCUAGCGAAACCAGCCUUGAUAUCGGUCAGUCCUAACUGGUUUUGGAAGGGACGAGCGAGACAUCCAGGCCAUUGAUGGUCAAGUGUCCUGCAAGUGUUCUUGUUCUGGCUUCCUGUCAAAAUGGUACAGUACCAAUAGUCCUGCCCAUUUCCACGAGACAAAUUCUUUCCUUUCCAUGAACUUUUAUAUAUUUGCACAGAUUUAGAUAACUGAUCAUAUAUAUUCGGUCUGACUUGUGAGGUAUGAAUCUUUAUUGACAAAUCUUGUGAUAUAUCAUCACAAUACACUAUGAUGUAGGUUGGUACAUAGUACCCGAUGUCCACCUUGUCCCAUGCUGCUAAACUUGUGACAUAAUAUGAUACCUAUGUGAAUUGCAUAGCUUAGGAAAACAAGUUGUAUGCUGAAAGGAGAACGCCAUAGACAAUCACCCAACCUGCAUUUACUUUUUGUAGAGAAAGCAAAAUGUACCCAACUGUUCAAAAUGAAUGAAAAGUCAGAAUGAGCACAUGAGAGAGAGAGAGAGAGAGAGAUUUUAAGUGUCAGGUUGUGCUGGUCUGUGAUGAUUGGCAUGUACCAUGCCGAACCAAUGCUAGCAUUGGCAUCAACAUGGGUUGGCAUGGAAUCCAUUUUAUCCCUCUUUUUUCUUAUAUAAAAAUGGUUUUAAUUUUAAUCAUAUAUAAUAAUUAUUUUUUGGCAUGUCUAGAUAAGUGUGUUGGCAUGACAUGACAUGAUACAUCGCAUGCUGGCCACUCUAGGAAUUUCUCAUGCUAGCUACACUUAAAUCCAUUGGAGAGACUAAUAUAGUUAGGAUGAAAUAAUAAGUCGAGAAAUACAAUAGAUAACUUUGUGGUACGAACCAAUUAUGUUAGCUGCAGGAUUUAGUUUUGAAAAUAAAAAAAGAAGAAAAGAAAGAAGAAAAGUAAAAAAGGUUUACAGGAUUAGGGUUUAUGAAAAGAUUAGAGGGUUGAGACUUGAGAGAGAUGUAUAUCAAGGGAUUAAAAAUAAGCUUAAACCACCAAUUUGUUAUAAAAAGAGAGCUCCUUGAUUGUGCGGCUCUAGCUUUUUUCCAUAAAAUUCCCUCUUUGUUACGACUAUAGGUUAGAUAACAAGAUAAGAAGACUAAGAAGAGAAGUAAAGGAGGUGGCUGCAUUACUAGGGCUGACAAUCAUUCAUGCUCUUUUGCAAUGACAAAAGGCCAGAUAAGCAUGAUGGCAUGGAUUCGAGUCCGGCAUAGUCACUUUGUGUGAAAAUACUAAAGGUUAGGUUUGUUCCCAGUCCACUCCUCAUAGGACCCUGGAUUGUUCGAGCCAUAACUAUGUAAUGGCCUUUUUCAUAGAAUAACAUAUCAAGAUGGUUAAUAUAGGAUAAUGUAACAUGUAAGUGGGAAUAGACAAAAUACCUUUUAUGACUUAUGAAUAUGCCAUCAUUGGUUAUCAUACAGUAAUAUGUAAAGAUAGUUGUUGAUCGUAAUACAACAGUUAAUGUAUUACAUAUUAGCAGUGAGAUGCUUUCAUGAACAAAAUAUUGGAAUAACCGAAUUUUCUGUGUAAAUAAAUUAAAGUACUUUGCAAUGAAAUAAUAUAUGUUGAUAGUCAAAAUGGUAAAAUCAUAUUUUUGUUCGAAUGAUGAUCCUAUGUGAGGAACAAUUAUAAUGUACAACAUUGUUACUCUUGUGCUGCCUCCAUUUAGUUUAUUUGCUCUGCAAAGACCAAUAUCCAUAUGCUUGAGAUAUUCAAACUUUCUUGUUGUGCAGUUCUAUGAAGAAGAACCUGCAAUGUUAAUGGUACUUGUAACUUCUUUUUAUUUUUGUAGGUUGCCCGUGGUGAUAAUAGUGGUGGAGAAGCCAUCCCAAUGCUUCUAAGAAUUCCUAGAUUUUCAGACCCUUGGGGUGGCUAUGACAUGAUUGGUUUUGGUGACAUUCUAUUCCCUGGCUUGCUUGUUGCUUUCAGUUUCAGGUAUCCUCAUUAAUUGUUGAAUUUUUAUGUGUUAAAAGUCUUUUUCCAUGCAUUUUGAGGAUCCUGGAUAAUGCAUUUAAUAGUUUUAUGGUGCAUACAGUUUAUUAUCUAAUUGGAGAAUGCCGAUUUACAAAUGCCAGCUUAUCAUCUGAUUUCACUUCUAAAGAAUCAUGCCAUAUGUUAGUUUUACAAAAUUUAUACGUUAUGCUAUGAACUAAAGUAAUAUUGACUUUACAAGAAUAUUAAUUGGAGAACACCAUGAUUAAGGACCAAGUCCAUUUUGACGGUAACGUAUUGCAUCAGAUAGAGGUUGUCUCAUGCCCUGAGUCCUUUACCUAGCUCGGCCAUGUGACACGGUUGCAUGAUCCUUAGAGCAUGGCUGUAGGGAGCAUGCAAGGCCUAUAAAAUGAACAAAAUUCCAAUAACACCAGAAAUUUAAAUCAAAACACGUCAUAACCAUAAUAAUCCAACUAAAUAGUUCCACCAUUAACAAAUAGUAAAAUUUGUUCAACUUCAACUGCAUAAAUCAAUUGUUCAUCUGGCAUCACAAAUAAACUAACUAAUCCAUCACUUGUUGAUCAUCUCCAACAUUCCUCUAUUAGGCAUCUUGUGACUCUGGAAAAAGGUUCAACAAGAUGAUAUGAGCUAACAGCUCAGUAAGAAUUUCCCUUAUACACACAGACAUAUAUUGAAUGAAAAAAUUGUCUAACAACAAUUGUAGCAAUUAGGAUAGGAUAAAGCAAUCAACAUCAUAAGAUAUUCAAAAAUAACUGCAGGGAACAAUAAAUAAUAAUGACCCAGCAGGUUACUUAAUAACUCAUGCAUUCAUUAGAUUGUGUUUUCACAGUUAUAAUUAUAUGUCCGAGAUUCAAUUCAAUAGAUUACAAUGUAAUUUAUUUUGAAUUCAGCUUCGGGCUAAUCAUGGCCAUGUUUCCCGCCAAAUGAUGGGGCAAUGAUGGCACAUUUCCAGCCUGUGAUGGGGCACCGAUAAUGCCACAUUUCCAGCCUAUGACAGGACAACGAUGUCAACGAGAUUAGCCCAUAGCUCACCAUCCAUAGAUAUCAAGAAUGCAUAUCAAUUAUUUUAAAUUAAUCUCAGCUUUGGACUAUCCAUACUCCAUAGUCAUGUUUCCAGCCUGUGAUGGGGGCAACAAUGGUGCCACACUGCCACGUUUCAGCUUGUGAUAGGGCAAUGAUCAUGCCACAUUUCCAGCUUGUGAUGGGGGCAAUGAUGACAUGGAUAGUCCAUCACCACCACUGUCCACCAACUAUCAAAAUUAUGUGAGUUUCAUAUUAUAUUAUUUUCAUGCAUCUAUCGUGCUCACAAUAAGGCAUACAACAAAAUCAUUAGUUCAUUUACCAUCUACCAUAAAUAUAAGCAUAUCAAAAUGCACGUACAUGCGAGGAAGCAUGCAAAGUGCAAAAUCCUUACUCUGUUAGUAGUGCAAUGAGUCAACUCGGUCGGAGUGGCCGUGCCUUCUUCUUUCCUUUCUUUUGCUUUGUCUGAGUGGAUAUUCGAGGCAUUGGCUUCUUACCCUCACUUAAUCCACCUCCUUAACUUUCCUGGUUGGCUUGAGCAGGUGGGCUACCAUUGCUCAGCCUGUUUUCAAAACCACUGACUGAUCACUAUCCCUUCUACACAUUUUUUUCAGCCUAUAUUAGACAUUUGAUAAAAUGAUACCUGAUGGAAUUUCCAGCAUGUUGCAUUAAAAAAUAUAACAAAUAUGAUGCGUCGCUUAAAAUAUUAAAGGGCUGUCUUAAUAUAAAUAUCAAAUUCUAUGAGAUCAUAUUAUAUGAGAAAGACUUAUAACCUAUUUCUAGUUGUUCUUAGCUUCCUAUAUUUGCAAUAACUACUAUUCUUUUAUUUAUGCAUAAUUACUUCUUUUUCUUAAAGAUAUGGAUUAAAGAUUCAUGCACAUACACAUACAUGGAGGCAGCGAAGUGGGGAGGGAUGGAGAUUGAUUGGGACCUCAGAAGUUUGCGGGCAGAGAGCUUGAUCUAGGACUUGGGAGGAGGAUACAUUGUGCAAAGGGAGAUUUUUAUUUUAGAUAGGAUCUUGAGAAGGGAGGGAUUAGCUAAAGUUUAUUGCAGGAUUCGAUGGGUGAACUGUGUAAGGUGGGAUUUUGAGGCUUGGAUAUCAGAUCUGCUUAGCAGAUCCACUUGCAUUGACAAAGGGUGCUAUAGAAGUCUAUCCAUGACAGCUGUACUAACCCUAUAUAUAAUAUCUUAAAGUGAUUUGCUUGAGCUAUAGAAAUAUCAGAAAAACAACUGAUCACCUCACCACCAACAACAGUCCUUGGUUGCCCAAUGUCUGCAUACGAGUUCAACUGUACUACACUAUUUCUAUGUCCAUUUUCAUGUUUCUCUAUAUUUCCCAUCCAAUUCCUCAUAACAUCUGAACUUCUAAAAAAUUUGAAAGAGCUUUCUCAGUAAAAGGACAAAAGAAUGGUGAUCUCAAUGGAACCCAAUUUGUAUUACAGAAUUAGUUAGAGAACUCUUUAUUGUACCUUUAGUUAUAAAUGUUGCAAAAAAAUCAUGUCAUUAACAACAUUAAUGACCAAAAAGCUUUGUAUGAUCAGCAUAAAUUAAACAAAAAUGCUUCUCUUUUCUAUCUUGUCAAAGCGCAAUGUCUUAAUGCCACUCUCUAAUGUGUGUUAGAAGUUCCAUGGGAUGUGCUGCAAGUAAUAUAAAAAGAACUCUUAAUAGAGUGAAAUGUUUUAAAUGACAAAUAUUUUAUAGAAAACCACAAGAUUAUGGAAUAAUAUUGAUUUCACAUAUUGUAAGAUCUCUUGGAUGUUACCAUAUUAGCAAAAACAUGCUUUGGCUCCUUUCUCUUUUACAAAAAGGUAUUGGUAUUAGUAUCUUGAAUAUCAUUAAUUAUAAACAAUCUAAAGGAUUGAGGUGCUGGUUGACACACGACAUGGGCUGAUGCAUUUUGGGCACAUGCAUAGCACCAUUACCAAGCUCUGGCACCUUUUGGCAUGGGAUUUUUCUCUUAUAUAUUUUUUUCUUUUUUGUAAGUUUUGAUACUUUGAACUUCUUGCUAGUGCAUUUUAAGAGUUGUUUCAUGCAUUAAAAUAAUAAUUUGAAUCCUAACACUUUAUCAUGUAUGUGUUCAUUCAGAGUUUUGUCAUCUAUCAUUUGAAAUGUAUAAAAACAGGUCUAAAAACCUCAUCUAUCUGAAACAUCAUAUUCCUCUUUUUUGGUGUCCAAGCAUUAUUUAGAACCUUUGGAUGGGUAAUAAAUAUUAAGAUAAAGCAUGCAUUUCUGUGAGUGAUUGGUAAUGAAUGUAAGUGAUGUUUUGGGUAAAUGAGCCUAGUGGAAGUAUGGAUUUACUUCUACUGCCAUUUUUAGAUUUAGAUACGAAGCAUCAAAUAUGAGAUAAUUGCAAUCACCUUUGGAUGGGUAAUAAAUAUUAAGAUAAAGCAUGCAUUUCUGUGAGUGAUUGGUAAUGAAUGUAAGUGAUGUUUUGGGUAAAUGAGCCUAGUGGAAGUAUGGAUUUACUUUUACUGCCAUUUUUAGAUUUAGAUACGAAGCAUCAAAUAUGAGAUAAUUGCAAUCUUGAAGUUCUACAAAAGGCCACAAUCCUUGGUUUCUGUUACGUGGAAACUACUUGGUAUGAUGAAAACAAAAAUUUGGUAUUGCAGAUACGAACAAGUUUAUUGCUUUACCAUUAUGAGGUUGUUACAUGUCGUGAAAAAAGAUGCUGGAGAAAAAUAUCAAUAGGGUCAAUAGUUUUCAAAAAUUUAAUAAGUGCUGCUUGAAUCUGAUUGCAGAUAGAACCCAAGUUGAACCUGAUAAGGAGUAAGGACAAUUUGAAACUGAUUAGCUUUUUGGGUUUUGGAUGGACCUGGCUUGGCCUCUGCCAAACCUGACUUGUUCACACCAGCUAAUGGAAGUCUUUAUCCUUGAUCUGUCAAUAUGAGUGCCUUAAAGGCUUUGAGGAUGGAAGUAAGAUGGCCAGUUUGAUAACAAUUAAAGCAAGUGGGAAGAAGGAAGGGAAAAUAAGAAGGAAUAAGAAAGUAAGUAGCAAGUGCAGCUAAAGCCUGCUAGCCAAACAUCCAUUUUUAUAUUUAUUAUUGUGCUUAGGAAGCCACUAAAGAGCUGGUGCAGGACCAAGAUACAAAUUGCAGUGUAGUGACAUUUAAAGUGAUGAAGAACUUCUAGUUAUGUUUUCAGAAAAUGAUUUCUAGUGUGACCUGAUUGUCAAUAAAACGAAAAAUACAUAAUGUAGCUCAUUGACAUCAACUAUUUUAAAUCAAAUCAACAUUGUUAAAAUAUAUGCUGGCUUGUUGGCAAGAACUGCUUGCAUGCAUACAUGCCUAUUGGCCUUAUACACACCCAUGCACAAUAUUAAAGAGCAACAAUUUUGAUUUUGGUAUACUGCUUCAUAGAAUCUAUCUGUCAAAAAUUGUUCCUAAAAUACUCAUAACCUUACUCCACAUGGAAACCAAACCCGUUAGGCUUGAAUCUCUACUCUCAGCUUCAUUUGAAUUAAGUUAGAAGGAUUUGAUUUCAAUUAAAAGCAAACAGCUGUUAAUUUCCAAUUUUCCCUUUAUAGAGAUUGAUCUGAAAUGAUUCAUGGAGGUUUGGGAUCUCUUGAUGGUUAGACAAGCUGGACCCUUUGAAAUUUCAAGAGAGUAAAAUUAAUUGUCCAACACCAUCUUUUCCCUCCCUAUUCAAUUAGUGCACCACCACAUCACCCAUGUCCUAGAUCACAGUACUCUUCCUUAAUCCAUGCUGCCAUCAUCUUCUCUUUAUAGUCUCUUUCCAUUAUUACCUCAUGACUUUAUUCCAUGCUGAUUAUAAGUUUGGCAUGAUAUUUGAAGAGUGUUCAGUCUUUGAUUGUGCAAAUUAAUGUGAUAAAUAGAUGUUAUUAUCUUAGCUGAGUCCAUUUAUGUGCUGCACUUUGGUAAUGAGUGCAUUAGUUGGUUAAGAUUUAUCUUCUGUUGGUCGCAUUAUAACUAAUCUUCUUUUGGCACAGAUUUGAUAAAUCAACUAAAAAAGGUGUGUUGAAUGGCUAUUUCCUGUGGUUGGUACUUGGCUAUGCAUUUGGUGGGUCUUCUUUUUCCUUAAGUCUGGUUUUGUUACUUUUCUUUAUUCUUGGAAGAUUUUUUUUUCUGAGCAAUUAUGACAGAAUUUAUUACUUCUACUUUUUAAAAUGUUGGUAUGGGUUGUGACCAUGUGUCUAUUUUUAAUUGUAAUUUUAUAAAGCUUAAUGGAAUGUUCUUCACAGAUUCAUCAUGCAAAGCUUGCUUGGUUUAUUGAAGUAUGUGGUGUUUUGGAUGGUUUCACCAUGAUUCAAGUACUUUGGUGUGGAUAGCACUAAAGGUUAACUUAGCAUAAUAUAUAUCGAGAACCUAUGAUCAGAACAUCGGCCUGUUUGUUGGAGACAAUGGAUAAGAUGCAGAAAAGGAUUAGUAGGGCUGUGUUUUAUUGGGAAAUAAGAAGAAAUAUAGGUCCUUUAACCCACUAAUGCCACUCUUUUCAACCAAACACUCUUGAGCACUGGGUUAAAUCAACUUUUCAAAAGGGAAAAUCGGUAUUUUUGAAAAGUAGGUACAACAUAUAAAUGCUUCAAUUUUUGACUUCCUAACCCAUUUAGUUCACUUAAUCUAAAAAGAACGUACUCCCAUUAAUAGGUGGAAUCAUCUAAUUUCAUUUCUUUUUUCUCCAAGUCAUUCCCUUUAACCCAGCUAAUCAGAAUUCUUUGUUCUUGAACCAAAUACUGCCUAAGAAUGUAUUACCGAAUGAGGGGAAAAAAGAAAGGGAAUGAAAAAAGAAGGGAAGAAGCAACAAUUUUGCUUUUCAAGGCUGCCUUUUCUUUGUUUAAAUAAUGUAUCAGGCUGUGCCUUCUGUCUUGUUGAAUAACCAAAAUGCCCUCAGCCAUGAGCAUGAUUUAUAGGCUGCUCAUGAGGCAUCCAAAAUCUGUCAUUAAAUCUCACACACAUUUAUAACAAGUAAAGCCAACUGUGUAGGCAUACAAAUCAUCUCAAUGAACCUCUAGAGAUAAGACCUUUUAAGGAUUGAAGCUUGGAAGAGCAUGUAGCUAAUCACUAUCUGCCCAAGGGUUUUAGUAAAGAUGUUGACCUAUUAUUCCUUCAAUGUUGUGUAUAAAGCCACAAAUGUCCUUUUUCACACUUUUUUAUGGAUAAAAUAGCAGUCCAGCUCAAUGGUUAUUGUUGUUUAUAAAAACAUUGGAUCAUUUCCUAAACGCCUUGAAUAUGGAAGGGCAUCAUGAAGUAAUUGAAUCUAGUUCAUAUUGGUCAUGUUGAAAUUAAAUGCACAAUUACGAAUUUGCCUGGACACAAUGUUUCAAGUCUCAGUACCGGACUGUGUGCUGGUAACUUACCAGUACAGGUUGCUCAAGUAUGAUACGCUCCUGCAUGGACAUAAAAUAUGCUGUUGGAGUUGGAACAGUACCUGUACCAUAUGUUUGUACGGGUAUGUAUCGAGCCCUUAUACCAUACUAGGUGACAAUGGUACAACCUGCACUGUUUAGUGCAAUUUUUCACUUGAAACCUUGCAUGGAAGUUCACAUAAUCUAGCUCUUACAAAUUUCCCUUGAUGUUUUGUGGACUUGGAAGUUGAUGUUUUAUGCUCUAGACUCAACAGGAAACUAAUGUGAUCAAAUAUACUUGCUGUUUCUGUUCAUCUUAUUAGAGUACUCUGUCAAUUUAUAUUCAUCCUUAGAAGGCCUCACUGGUGUUUUAUUGCUUUAAAAGCUGUCGCUUGCAUGUGGGACCAAAUUCAGCAAAAAUAUGGAGUACAUCUGUUUGACACUCUUCUGCGUGCUAAGAUAUAACAUUGCUCAAAACAAAAGCAAUAGAUGAUCACUUGACACCUAGAUGGAAUGGAGGGACAUCAGUGGGACCUCUAGCUUUAGAUAACCUCUUUCCAAUGCAUACCAACAAAUUAGUGCUCAGAUUAACCCAUAUACCAUAGCUCAAAAAAUCCAAGUUUGCUGUAUCAGAGUCCUUGAGGUCAUACAUUGCACCAGAUUAACCCACAUACCAUAGCUCAAAAAAUCCAAGUUUGCUGUAUCAGAGUCCUUGAGGUCAUACAUUGCACCAACAGUCAAUCACGGUCAAUAUUACAUCUCGCAGUUUCUUAUGAAUGAAUUUUGCAUAAGGAUUACUCCAAGCCUCCAUCAAUCUACCCCAUAUUAUGUUAUAAGUGGGCUAGGUGCUGGGUCAGUUGAAUUAAUCUUGCCACUGGACUUAAAUGCUUGGCUAUUUAAUUAUUUUCUCUUGGGGGAAAGGCCAACCUCCUGUUAGCCCGAUGGUCUAGGCUGUAGUAUAUGAAAACUUUGGGGGUUAGACUUUCUUGAACAUCUUCAUUGGUGUUAGAAUAGGUUGAGAACAGCUAAAUUGGGCUUUUGACUUUCUGGGUCAAAUAAGACCUAGCAUUCAGUUUGAUAGUUUUAGUUUAUUUUCGGAAAUGCUUCAGCUGAAAAUUGUACUAAUUCAAGGUCUGCUAGAUUCAUCACCUAGCCUUAAUCAUGGGCUUUGCCAAUGAUGGUCAGGUUCACCAAUUGGUAAUUACACUCAAGGUGCACCUGAGUAUUGGAGUGCAUCAUUAAGAUCUAUAUUUGUAAAUGUAUUGAACGAUUUAGUUUUUUUAAACCCAAGCCUUAGGCACUUCCUUUUUUUUCUUUUCCAUUUAUAAGCUCUCACAUAAUUGUGUAAGUUAAAUUGCUCUUAUGGAAGGUCUCUUAAAAACCGAUUGCAUAAAAGAGAUUUCUUAUGUUCACUCUCAUUGCAGAAAAGGACACAUGCACCAUUUGGUCAUGCUUGUAUAUCAAAAUUAUCUAUUUGCUUCAGGAAUUUCAUUGUAGCAUGAAAGAUUUUAGCAUGUUGGCUGCUGAACAACCAUAUCAUGAGCCUAUAUGUGUUGUGUUGUCUUUAUUGUAGUUUAUUAUUUCCUUCAUCUGCACUGGUUGCACAGCUGAUGAUUGGAACCACUAGAUAGUUAACCACUGCAUGGUUGAUAAUUGCAUCUUGUGAUCUUCCAGUUAACACCUCUUUACUGAAACUUUUAUUUGUUUAUGCUGUGCGAAAGAAGAGAAUCAGAUAAUAUGAAAUGCAUGAGACUGAAACUUUAAUUUGUUUAAUUGCACAAAAGCAGAGAACAAAAUAGGAAAUGCUUGGGUCCAACAUGGUCACCUGUAACAAACUUUUUGUCCUAAGAAAAUGCUCUCUUUUUUGCAGGCUUAUCCUUGACAUAUCUUGGUUUAUACCUAAUGAAGGGACAUGGACAGCCUGCCCUGCUCUACUUGGUUCCCUGCACCUUAGGUAAUGAACCGUAUCUACUUGUUCUGGUCAUGAAUAUUUAAAUCCUCCAUCAAUCUGUUAUGAUGUCGUUCAUGAAUGAUGACCAUUUCUGGGCUUAAAUUAUCAGGUGUUACUAUUAUUUUGGGUGGGAUAAGAGGAGAACUAAAUGAACUUUGGAACUUCAGAGAAAAACAAUCUGAUGCCAGUCCUGCUGGACAUGUUUAAGCACUACUCUGCUGAAUCUCAUGAGAGAUGACCAUCAAGCAUCAUCAACCUACUGAUGCCACCGUCUCAGCAAAAACUGAUUGGGACCUGCACUCCCUGCUACAAACUAUCAGAUCUGACAGAGACGAGAAAUAGUUAGGAAGCUUAUUGCUCAAAAGAUGAAGCAGAGUUUGGAAACACUUAUCCGUCCUUGAUAACAAGCUAAUCAUCAUCCAAUUGCGGCAGCUCUUAAUUUGCCAUCACAUGUGAUGUGGUUUUACGUCUUCUUGUAAUAUCACAAUAGGAUGCAUUUGUGAUGUUCAUCUAGACAAGUUGUUCCAUCAUUGUAUUUAUAAUAUCUAUCAGGUAACUUGUUGAAAGACCUUGUGAUAACGUGGUCCAAUUGGACCAGCCGUAACAAUUUUAAAGCAGCCAAAAAAAAAAAACCAAAAAAAAAACAAUUGGAAGAAGACUCUGAGCCAGAGUCUUCUUCAACGAUUGAAUCCAAGAAGAGCCGGAGUCUUAGGGCAAAGAGGAUCCAAGGGCUCUUUAUAAAUAGCCCUCUCAUUCCUCGUAUAGCCCUCCAUUAGUGAUCAUUGCAUUCUUUCUCUCUCUUUCUCCUGAUUUUUACUGGAUUCUUUCGCCAUGCCCAUUGAAAAUUCAGGCCAAAGACGCCACUAGAGCUAGGGUAACGUUUCGGUCCUUCCUCUUCUCCCUUCUUCUCUUUGCCUUAGGCAUCAUCGCUGGCUGUCGGUUCCAUCAGAAAUUGAAUUUUUUUUUUAUUUUUUUAAUGAUUUUUUUGAUAUAUCGUCAUCAGCCACCUACUGGCAGUAAAAAAAAAAACUCUUGUAUUUCUCUCUCCUCUCUAGAUUUUUCUUUCUACCUUUUUUCUCUCUCUAUCUAAUCCAUAGACCCCAGUGUUUGUUGUCAUGCUCCCAUACUAUGAACCAAGAAAUUCGUUUAGAAAGGAGGCCCAAAAUUGCUUUAAUAUUCAUGCAGUAUGUUGGAUCCGGUUUGGUUCUUGCCAAAUAUUUAUAGAAUCUGAUUACUGUUAAUCCCUAUUGAAUCAUCCUGAUAUGACCCCUAAUGAUCUUAUCCUGAUUUUCUUUUUUGAGGGAUGCCUCCCUCCACUUCCUCUACAAGAAGAUAUGUGAAUCCUAGUAUUGAGUCUUAUUUCCUUAUUUCAUAGAUUCGUGUUGUCCGCUCAGUCAAUUAUCCUCUUUCUUUAUAAUUUAAUCUUAUUGAAUUCAUAGAAUAGAAGGGAUUAUGUUUUUGAUAUUUUUAGUAGGAUCACUUGAUUCUUCUAACGAAGUUUAAAGAUUUAGGAUGAACAUGGUAAGUAGAUUUUACAUAUUUAUUUAUUUUUAAAUUAUUAUAUUUUUCAUGCAAAUGAUCUAUUACUGUUGAAAUCAUAUUUUUUAUAAAAUAAAAAUUAAUAUAUGAGAUAUGAAAAGUAUGUUUUAUUAUGACAAGUGAUUUUAUAAAUAUAUUUUAUAAAAAUAAUAUAUUUAUGAAAUAUGAAUUUUAUUAUUUUUCUUAUCUAUAUAUAUAUAUAUCUUUUAAGAAAAAGAUGUAAAGAUUUUAAAAACUUUCAAAUAGUCAUGAAUAAAUUUUUAAAAUUGAGAAGGUCGAUACUCAAAGCUAGCAUAUACAAGAAAUAUGACUCCACCUAUGGAUAUAAAUUUGGCAUAUAAAAUAAGAACUAUUAAUUAAGAAGUAUGACCUUGUCACGGAUAUAAAGUUACCAUAGCAUGAACAUCUGUGAGCAAUAUUUUAAAAUAUGACAUGAAUAAUUGAUAAGAAAGAUUUAUGAAUCAUGUUUACGAAAUGUUCAUAAUUUAUGCAUACAUGAUUAUUUUUAUGACUCAUUUUAUUAUAUGUCCUAUGAAAUAUUUUAUUUUAUAUUAUUUAUUAUUUUUUAAUAUUAUAUUAUCAUAGAAAAAUUUAUGCUUGAUUCGAUAAGAAAGCGUAGAUUUUAUUUACUGAGCUAGUGUAGUUUAUACCUCUUUAUUUUUUUUAUAGAGGAAUAAGGUUAGAAACGAUGGAGGAUCCAAAUUUGAAGAUUUGUGUAGCAAGCUUUGAAAGUUUGCAGCUAAAACUAGUUUAUUAGAUAAUUAUGGACUUGUAGUUAAUUAUUUAUAAAUUGUAAGACUUGGGUUUGAUAUUUGAUUUUGGAUUUACAUAUUUUAAAUCAAUCUUGAUUUAAUUAUUUGAUAAAUAAUUAAAUUAAAUAUUUUAUUAUAUUUUAUUUGUGAUAGAUUUUAGCUGAUCAUGAUUGAUAGACUUUGUGUUAUCGUGGAUGGUAUCCCUCGGUAGUAUGGUUGUAUUUUGUUCUGAAUUUGAGGCAUAACAUUUUAUGGUAUCAGAGCAAUAGAUUAUGGGUAGAACUUGAAGUCUAGCAAUAAGUAAUUAGGUCUCCUUUAGCUAGAUCACGUUUAAUUGAAUGGGAGUAAAUAAAUUUCCAUAGAGUUCUUAUUACUCAUUUAAAAAAGUUGAUUAAUGCUUAUAUUUUGGAUAGGUGAUGAUGAGCAACAAAGAGGAUGAAGUCUUGGUGAACUUUGCCACUGGGAGGAGAGAAGCAAGAGGGACUAGAAGGGGGGAUGCCAACCAGCCAGUUGGACAGACCCUAAUGUGCCAGCCACUUAGGCAGAUAUUAUUGGAGUAUGCCAAGGGAUGGUUCAGCUUAUUUAGCAACAGCAGCAAACACAAGCUGCUCCUCAACCUAUACCAUCUGUGGAGUCAUAUUAUGAGAGGUUUAGAAGGCUUAGCCCACCAUUGUUUGAUGUUGAACCUGAUCCUCUAGUUGUGGAGAUCUGGAUUCACAAAAUGGAGAAAAUAUUCAAUGCCCUAUAGUAUCCCAAGGAUGUAAAGGUCAUGUUAGCCAUACCUAUGCCGAAAAAAAAUACUGAUCUUUGAUGGACUGUAAUAAAGACCACAUAUGAAAAUAAUCAUAAUAAGCUAACAUGGUAGGAGCUCAAAAUUAUAUUUUAUGAUCAAUAUUUUUUUAGGUCAAUUAGAUUGGUAAAGAAAAUAAGUUCUUAACUUUGAGGCAAAAAGAUGAUAUGACAGUACUAGAAUAUGCAAACAAAUUCAAAGAGUUCAAUCAUUUUUGCUCUUAGCUCAUGGAGUCUGAAAGAAGCAAAGUAAAUAGAAUUGAGUAUGGUCUAGGAUAUAAAACUUGGUUUCACUUGUCCUCUCACCUUUUUAAUAACUACAAGCAUGUACUAAAACAAAGUUUGAAAGUGGAAUUGGAUCUUAAAAGAUUGGAAAAAGAAAAGGAGGAUAGGAAGGGGUCCAGAUCAAUAGAAAUUCGAAGAGACCAACAUGACAAAUUAGAAAAUCACUCUAAUAAGAAGAUAGGGGAAGAGACAUGUGAGUAUUGUGGCAAAAAUCAUAAUGGGCCUUCUCUCAAAAAGAUAGGAACAGUUUCUUAUGUGGUGAGUGUUGGGGGCACAGCAGAAGGCCCAGAUAUUUAAAAUUUUCAUUCAAACACCCGAGUGUACCGAAACCCUAAUGCCUAGAAAUCCUUGAUAAUAGCAAUUAAAGCAUAAAUAUACAAGAAGUAUUAGUAAGCAUACCUUUUGAAUUCUGAUUUGAUGAAGAAUUAUUUUCACUAGGUACCCAAGUGUUCGUCCUUCAAUGGUGAUCUACAUAAGAAUCGAUCUAAGGACAGUGCUCCUUCACUUUGCUUCAAGAGUUAACUCUUAGAACUUGACCAGCCUCCAACUGAUUAGACCCUCCUCCAGACCUGAGUUUGGACCUUUUAGAACUUCCUUCUGACUUUGACCUCCUUUUUUAAGAUCUCUUAAAUCCUUUGUUUUAAAAGAAAUAGGCUUGUCUUAAAAAAACAAAUCUUGUCCUAAAAGAACUAGAGUUGUAAGAGAGGGAGAGAGGGGGCGGAUAAGACAACUCUUGUCUGAAUUUAAUUGGAAUGCCUUGUCCCCAUCUGCCAUCCCCUAUUUAUAAGACACGAGGGGGCACCAAAAGAGAAGCCACACCUCUUAGGAAAAAGCAUAUUUGAUCUACAUAUCAGAAAUAAGAGUCCUUCUGAAGAAAAAACUCUUCAAGCAAAUAUGGUGUUUGAUUCCUCUCUAACGCACACGCCCAAUAAAGGGCAUCAUGGGCAUCCAAUCAUUUAUCAGAUUAUUUCCUAAGAAGACAUGUGGAAUCAGCAUUUAAAUCUGAUUCAAAUAAGGAAAAAAUUUAGAUAAAUAUGGUGCCAAUCAUCUGCUUAAAAUAGGAGUCUUCACAUCUCUUCGCAUAACCUGCAGUUCUCCUGCGCACGCACAUCAUAAAGAGAUGUUUUUGGCAUCCUUCCACUUAUUAGAUAAACUUGAGAUUUUUCCAUGUUAAUCCUUAUUUGAAUAAGGAUUCAAAUGUUGGGAUUUAUCAGAUAGGGAUGCCUCCUAUCCCAUGGCAGAAGGACUCUUCACAUGAUAAGUUGCAUGAAUUCAUUUUUUUACGCACACAGCCUUCAUUGCAAAAAUUCUCCAUGCCAAAGUAAAUCCAAAAAAAAAUUAUAUCAACCUUUGAGAUAUGUGCCAAAGAAUGAAGGAUGAUAUGGACUACCACACGGGUCUUAAUCCCAAAGCAGAAGGUCUCUUUCCUUCCCCUCACGCCAAACCACACGCCAACAGACUUCUAGCGUGCCUAGAGUUCAACUUAGUUUGGACUCUUAGUUAUGGUAUCUUAUGAGGCUAUGUGGCACCAUCCAAAGUAGCCACACCCUGAUCCAAACACAAAAUAAGCCUUGGCAUAAUUUGGUUUGAUCAAGAAGUAAGAUUCGAACUGAAUUUAAAUCCGAUUCAAGGAGUUAGAGUUUUCACACAUGCUAGCAUGCUUAACAAAAAUUUGAUUGGAUCUAAAACUCCAAUCAACCAUAUCAAAUGGGUUCUUGGCUAACUUUUUAAUGUGUGUGAUCUAUUGGAUUUCACAUCUAGCCAGCAGUAGGUCUAGAUACAAGUUGACCUAAUUUGAUUAGAACUUUUUCUAAUUGAUUAAGGUCCAAAUCCUGCCACCCCGAGUUCAGCAUAUAGAACUUUUUCUAAUUGAUAAUCGAAUUAAACUCUUUAAUCCGAUCAAAUCUAUAAGUCAAGAUUGUUAUUUAGCAAUGUAUCAUGACUAUCCAGAAGAUAUAAAAUUUGAUAAAAAUAUCAAAUAUAUCAUUCAGUGGUAAGUUACCAUAUAAUUCAAUUCUUCGAUCAUCCUGCAUCCCGAAUAUGUUCAUGAAUAUAGAAUUAUAUCAAACUCAAACACAUAUACAUAUUGAUUCUCUAUCAAUCAGUGAUGACUCUAAUGAUAAAGUAUUAAAAAUUCUUUUUAAUCUUCAUGCUGCUUUGGCCAAAGACUUUCUGAGUCAUCUGGAGAUGAUAAUGCAUAGGAUGUCAUCUCCUCUUACUAAGAGUGAUCGAUUCCUUAUUGAUCGACUUACAAUCUUCAUACAUAUUUUAUCAUAUUCAGAACAUCUCAUAUAUAUCUUAAUGUUAUACAUGGAUAUGAACCAAAAUAUAGAUUUAUAUGUAUAAGAUUCUAUGGUGGUCUCAGGUCUAAGGAUCACUUGCACAACUUUUACUUAGAGAACAAUCUUUUGACAUGCAAGUAAGGCUCCAUAAGAUAUUCUCUAUCGGUGAGUCAAUUCAGUAAACUCAUUUACUAAUGAGCAUCCACAUCCUUAUAUUAGUGUCUCACACAAGUGACUUGUGAAAUUAGCCCCCUCUUCAUCGAGCAUACAUAGGAUGUGCCAGUCUAUCCAAAAAAUUGAUCCUUAAUAUUCUUACGACUAGAAAUAUUUAGGAUUAGAAUUUUAAAUUUUACAGGCAUAAACUUUUUAUGGCCCUAAAAUCACUAUCCUAAUUCAUGAGGUUCAUUAUAAUCUUAUACAUAAUAAGAUCCAGCUAUAAUGAUGAAUCAAUACCUCAUUUUAUUAACUAAUGAAUAAUGUCAUUUUAUGAGUUGGAAGAUCAUAAAAAAAAGUUCCAUCGCAUCAAUUAUGCGAUUGACUUGUAGGGCACUCUUCUUUCAAUCUCCCACUUGUAUUAAAGCUAAUCACCUUUGUAUCUUAAUCCUAUACAAUCGAGAUGGCGAUCAAACAGCUAUUGUGGUAUGACCUUAGUGAAUGGAUCUGCUAUAUUAUUUUUAGUAUCAACUUGUUCUAUUAUCUUAUCUUUCGAUAAAUUUUUGAAUGAGGUGGAAGCAUCUAAGGAUGUGCUUGGAUAUUUAAUGAGACCUAGGUUCUUUGGCUUAAGUAACGCCCCAGUGUUAACAUAAUAAACUAGCACUAGUCAUUCUAUCUGAGAAGCUAUAUCCAUUUCUGUGAUGAAUUUUUUUAUUCAGAUAGCUUCCUAGGCGGCUUUACUAACAGCAAUAUACUCUGACUCAGUGAUUGAGUCAGCUAUAGUCUGUUGUUUGAAAUUCUUCUAAUUUACUACUCCACCAUUUAGGAUAAACAUAUUCUCUGAUAUUGACUUGCAAUCAUCUAAAUCAAAUUGAAAACUAGAAUUUGUAUAACCUUUUAAUUUCAACUCUGAUCCUCUAUGUAUAAGAAAAACAUCUUUAGUCCUUCUUAGGUACUUAAAAAUAUUUUUCAUAGCUUUUCAAUAAUUCUCCCUUGGAUCAGCCUGAAACUUGCUAGCUAUGCUUAUAGCAUAAGCUAUAUCAGGCCUGGUACAUAGCAUAGCAUAUAUGAUUGAUCCCACAGUCGAAAUAUAAGGAAUCUUAUUUAUUCUGUUCCUCUCCUCAGAUGUCUUAGGAUACAUUUUCUUGGAGAGACAUAUAUCAUAUCUUACAGGCAGGUAACCUCUUCUUGUUGCUUCCAUGUUAAACAUCUUUAACACAAUAUCUAUGUACUGAGAUUAGGACAAGCCUAGCAUCCUCUUAGAUCUAUCUCUAUAGAUCUUUAUACCCAGUAUAUAGGAUGCUUCAUCCAAUUUUUUUAUAAAAAAAAUUAUUUGAUAGUCAAAUCUUGAUCGAUUAUAAUAUUGAGAUAUUAUUUCUAAUGAGUAGUAUGUCAUCGACAUACUGAACUAAUAAGAUAAUAGCACUCUUCGUUAUCUUCUUAUACACAUAUGGUUCAUCCUUAUUUUUGAUAAAGUCAAACUCUUUGACUAUCAUAUCAAAAUAGAUGUUCCAACUCCUUGAAGCUUGUUUCAAUUUAUAAAUUAAUUUUCUUAACUUGCAUACUUGAUUUACUCUUCCACUGGAGAUAAAUUCCUUUAGCCGAGUCAUAUAGACCUUUUUCUUAAGAUUACCAUCGAGGAAAAUGAUCUUGACAUCCAUCUUUCAGAUCUCAUAAUCGUAGUAUGCAGCUAUAGCAAGUAAUAUUCGAAUGGACUUGAGCAAGACACUGAUAGGAAUGUUUCAUCAUAGUCAAUUUUUUGCCUUUGACUAAAAUUCUUCACCACCAACCUAGUCUUGUAGGUUUUUACUUGGCCAUCUACUCCGAUCUUCUUCUUGAAGAUCCACUUGCACUCUAUUAUGGUCACACCAUUAAGCACAUGAACCAAAAUCCAUACUUGGUUAAUGUACAUUGAGUCUGUUUCAGAUUUUAUGGCAUCUAGCCACCUGUCUAAGUCUCUACGCACGAUAGCUUUUGAAUAGGUUAGUGGAUCAUCAUCCUCAAUGAUGUUGAUCUCAUUGUCAUUCUUAAUGAUAAAAUCAUAUCUUAGAAAUUUCUGUUGCACUCUAUCUAACUUUCAGAGAGGAGGUGUGUAUUAUGGAUGUACCUCAUCCUUGGGUACUUCUGGUUGAGAAUUAUUUUAAGAAUCAUCUACUGAUAAUUUUGAAAUGGUUUAUAGAUUUUGAACUUCUCUGAAUUUAACAUUCCUUCCACUGCCUCCUUCUUGUAUAAAUUUAUUUUUUAAAAAAGUAGCAUACCUACUAACAAAUACCUUUUGUUCAGUAAGAUGGUAGAAAUUGUAUCCUUUAAUUUUUUUAGGAUAUCCUACAAACCUACACUUGUCUAAUUUAGCACUUAGCUUAUGGCCACAAAUAUUUUUGAUAUAAGCAGGACAGCCCCAAAUUAGAUUUUCUUCUUUUUCAUAUCUCAUAUAGAGUAUUAACAACAGACUUUAAAGGCACCCUAUUCAAUAUAUAUGUGGCAGUUUCUAGGAGAUAUCUCUAGAACGAUAUUAAAAGAUCUAUGAAGCACAUCAUGGGCUGCACCAUAUUCAUCAAAGUAUAAUUCUUCCUUUCUGCUACACCAUUUAGCUGUGGUGUGUAAGGAGGGAUCCAUUGAGAGAGAAAAUCUUUAUACUUAAGAUGAUCAAGAAAUUUACUGGAUACGUAUUCUCCUUCUCGAUCAGAUCGAAAAAUCUUAAUAUCUUUUUCUAAUUUAUUUUUUAACCAUAUUUUGAUACUUCUUGAACUUAUCAAAUGUUUCAAUUUUAUGUUUCAUCAAGAAUACAUAUCCAAAUUUUGAUAGAUUAUCCACAAAGGUGAUAAAGUAAGAGUAUCCUCCUCUGACUUGAGUUGUCAUUGCUCCAUAUACAUCUGAAUGUACUAGGGCUAAUAGCUCCCUUGUCCUCUCUCCAUGUAUAGAGAAUGGAGUCUUGGUCAUCUUUUUCAUGAGAUAAGAUUCACAAUUUUUCAAUGAUUUAUAAUCAUAGAGAUCAAAGAAUUCUUCUUUAUAUAAGUUAUUUAUCUUUGACUCACUAAUAUGACCAAUGUGGCAAUUUCAGAGAUAUAUGAUAUACGCAUCUUCUCUCUUUUUUUUCAUAUUUUUAUCAAUAUGAAACAUAUUUUCGUUGAGUGCAAGAAGUCUUGCCCGAAGGUAACUUCAGCAUAUAGAUUUCCACAGCUUCUGUACUAAUGGACUCUCCACUUGCACUGAAAAGCUUGUGGUCAUCUCUUUUCAGUCCUCUGAGAUUUUAUAGUUUCUUUAAUGAAUUGUAGAUAUAUGAACCACAAGCAAUAUCCGAUACCCAAGUGUCAGAGACUGAGGUACUCAAUGAAAAGCAAGUUUGUAUCAUAUACAAUCCUUUCAGUGCAACACUUGCACCUUGCUUCAAACUUGCAAGAUAAUUCUUGCAAUCUUUCUUCCAAUGUCAUAUCUUGCUACAAUAAUAACAGGUGAUAUCCAUGGGGACAUCCUUUUCUUUCUUCUUUUUGAAAGUAUUAUCACUAAUUGAAUCAGGGUCAGAAAUAUCCAAAACAUAGGAGAUCUUCUCCUAUGCGAAUCUAAUUUGUAAGUUCCCAAUCAGUCCACAUAGUUCAGAUUGGUCAAUAUAUUUGCAUCAAUGAUGCUAUGCAAUGAGAGUGAAGUUCCAAAAUACAGAAUUGAUCUAUAUGAACUAAAAAUAAUAGUAUAAGCUGACCACUCAUGAUGACAUGCAUAACUAGAUGAGAUCUUCUAUCUAGUUAUGUCUCUUACUAUUUUAUCAGAUACCAUAGUCCUCAUCUAUAAUAAACGAGAAACCCUAAUUGAUUUUUUUAGUGAGGUUUCGAUCCUAAUUCCUCAUAAAAGUCUUGCAGUUACACAAUAAAUUUUUAAUGAGUUUAUCAAUAGAAAACUCUUUUCAAAUUCUCAACAUAACCUUGUCUCUAAAAUACUUAUAGCUUUAUAGUUACACAACAAACAAUAAUAUUUUAGUUAAGUCAGAUCCUCUAUUUCUAUACAGUCAUAUUCGAAUAAUGCUGCUCUUAUGGUUGCACAGCAAAGCAACACAUCCAAAAAUAUCGUAAGCAUCAAAAUGUACCAAGACUAUCCCACAUCAAACCUCAAUAGUAGGCCAUGUGGUUGCACAACAAACCUACUACAGUUUUUGAUAUGAAAUUAACUUAGCAUGAAGGCUUAUGUAGUGGUCCUAAACACUAAGCAUCGCAAAUUUAGAUUAAUUAAUCUAAUUGAUCAAAUAAGUAUAAGAUUGAUAGGAGACUCUCCGUACUUUCAUAAUGGUUCUAAUUAAGUAACCACCACUCAAGAACACUUGCCUUAAACACCAAUCGAUCAAUUACUGUCGAACUUAGAUCGCUUUUGAUUUGCACCACUAUGACUUAAUAUAAUUUUUAGGAGGGCUUUAUGGUCUCAUGCACAUCCUUUUUAAUACAUUAACAAUGGUACAUAAUCAUGCUAUGCUAGGUGUGAAUCAUAUCCUGAAUUAAAGCAUCUAAACAGAUCUCUAAGAUAGACUAGGGUUCGACUGUUCAUCGGACUUAUCUCAUGACCCGAAUUGAACUUGUUCGAAACCCUAGAUGAUCACUAUCUAGAUUAUAUUUCAUAAUGUACUUCAUACAUUCUAUAAUGAUGCAUAAUCAUACUUUAAAAAAAAUGCAUCUAAACAUAUCUUUAAGCAUGUCUAGGGUUUAGAUGUUCAAUCGGAUUCAACUCUUGAUCCGCACUGAACCAAACCAAUAACCCUAGGUAAAAUUAAAUCAUGCCAACAUGCUAUCCUCUGAUUGUAUUAAUUAAGGAGGCUUUGAUACCAUUGUUGGAUUCUAGUGGCAUAAUGGAAGAUUCAGAUGUUUAAAAUUUUUAUUCAAACACCUGGGUGCACCAAAAUUCUAAUAUCCAGGAAUCCUUGAUAAUAGCAAUCAAAGCAUAAAUAUAUAAAAAAUAUUAGUAAGCAUACCUUUUGAAUUCUAAUUUGGUGAAGAAUUAUUUUCACUAGGCACCUAAGUAUUCAUCCUCCAAUGGUGAUCCACACAGGAAUCGUUCCAAGGAUAGCGUUCCUCCUUCACCUUGCUUCAAGAGUUCUAACUCUUAGAACUCCACCAGCCUCCAACUGAUCAUACCCUCCUUCAGACCUGAGUCUGGACCUCUUAGAACCUUCUUCUGGCUUUGACCUCCUUCUUUAGGAUCUUACCCUUUGUCCUAAGAGGAAUGGCUUAUUCUUUUAGGCUUGUCUUAAAAGAACAAACCUUAUCCUAAAAGAACUAGAGUUGUAAGAGAGGGAGAGAGGGGGUGGAUAAGACAACUCUUGUCUGAAGUUAAUUGGAAUGCCUUGUCCCCAUCUGUCAUCCCCUAAUUAUAGGAUACAAGGGGGGACCAAAAGAGAAUCCACGCCUCUUAGGAAAAAGCAUAUUUGAUCUAUAUAUCAAAAAUAAGAGUCCUUCUGAAGAAAAAACUCUUCAAGCAGAUACGACAUUAGCCCUCUAAAGAUCUUUUUAGGUUAGCCUUCGCUUCUUGAUCGAUCAGGAUCUUCAUGGGCAUUAACUCGCUGAAGAGCGAGUAUGGCUUUUGAGGGUCCUUAUAGGUUAGCCCCUGUUGAAGAAAAAAUUUAUCCGAUCAAAUCAGAUGUUAGGAAAAAGGAAGAUUUCUAAUUUAAAAUUUUCAUAACUCUUAUGAAAGUUACCUUGAUAUGCAGUAAAAAAUUGAUCGAGGUUGAUUGAUUCUUGAAGAUCGUUGCUUCGCAAGAUUUGGAUGUCCAGACCCUCUACUUUGCUCGCAUGCCAAACAAUGUAGGAGAGAGAGAUGAAGAACUCUUUAAGAGGGAAAGAGAGGAGAGCCUUGAGAUCAUAUCUCGAAGCUAGAGAGGAGCCCACACGCCACACUAGCAAGGGAGAGGGAGGAUGUCCAAGAGGAGAGAGAUGCCCAGGGAAAGGGGACACCCAAAGUGAUCUCACACCUAGAACAAUUCUCAAUUGCUUGCUUGAUUGAUUUCUUUCUUCUCCACACCUCUCCUUAAAUAGACAAAAGGUCCUAGAUCAAAUCAAACACCUUCAUGAGUUUGGAAUAGGUUUUUCUUAGUUUGAAUUAAAUCCAAACUCUCUAAUCCAUGAGGAAUCCUAAAGGAAGUAGGAGAGGUGCCAACUUGCACCUCUCUCUCCAUGCUGCAUGCCCAAGGGAACCCUUCCUCCAUCUUGGUCAGCCAAAUAGGUGAGUGAUUACCUAGGAAACAUGGCUUAGUGUAUCAAAUUUGAUUUGGUUCAAAUUUGGGUUCAAUUCGAAUUCAAUUUGAAUUCGAUUCAAAUCAAAUUCGAAAAAACUGCUAAUCCUAAUCUAAUUAGGAUUUAGAUCUAAGUUCAACUUCGAUAAUUAACUCAAUUUAGCCUCAAUAAAAUUAAGCCUAAUUAGAUUAGAUCUGAUCUAAAAUAAUUAAAACUUAAAUCUAAUCUCUCAUAAUUUUUUGAAUCAUAGAUUUGAUCAAAUUUAUCUAUAGAAUCAAACCUGCGCCUCAUGUGUAGUGCUAGUUGGAUAAUGAGUGUUUAAUUCUGUAUGACCCAUAACUUAAAUAAAUCUAUAUGUUCAAUUAAGUCUCAUACUUUCAAAUUGAAUAUAUGGAUAUUAGGUCAAUUCUUUCCUAUGCAGUUUUACUUUAUGCAUGACUCUAUAGGUUCGAACACUAAGCCGGUAAUAUAGAAACUAUUUUCUAUACUAAUCAAAGUGACCAUCUAAUAAUGAUAUCUGACGUCCGGAUUGGUUGAAUAAUUAUAAAAUAACAUUCAAAAAUCUCAGCAUAUGGUUAUCGCUUAAUUCAUCUUUUUGACCCUAAUGUUUAUGGUGAUCUAGGAUUAAACUAUCAAUCCUGGAUGAGUCAUUCACAUUGUAUUUCAAUAUGUUUCAAAUUCUAUGCUAGAUCACAAGAAUUAUCCUGACCAAAGUUUUACUCGAUUGAGAUACAGUGAUUCAUUACUCUUGUAAUCCAGAGAGAUUAAUCCCAACUUGACUCAUACAUUGACUUUACCAGUUCUUGACUGUAUCUAGUAGCCUUCUGUCACUAUAUUAGAAAUACAGAUAGUCCAAAACUAAAGUACAGUGAGUUACUUGCAAAUCAUCGUGGUGAUCUUAGAUCGGAGAGACACUUAUGCCCAUAUUCUUUGCGAGCUACUCUUAACAGCAAAGCACUCCGUAGGUGAGUUAUUGAUCGGUGAUGAUGUACUCCUACAUCUCACUUGUAUAUCAUAUCAGUAUCUCUACACUCUUUGAUUAAGAGAACAAUCAAUCCAUAUGGCACACAAUGACCUAUCCUCGAUAAAUGUUAUUAUCCUUCUUAAUAACAUAUUAUUUGAUCACGAACAAGUUUAAAAACUAUUUAAUAAAUUAUUCUUUAUCGAUUAUAUUAUAGUUCUAAGGACUUCAUCAUAAUAUAAGAGUUUAAAGAAAGAUACACUUUUAUGAUGAACUUAUCAAAAAUAAUUUUUAUUUAUUAAUAAUAUAUAUAUAAAUUAUAAAAAGCUCAAUAAUCUAUAGAUAUAUAAUUGAUUUUAGGAUAUAUUUUUCAACAACUCCUACUUGGACUAAAGUCAAUCAGGACUGUAUCUAAUACCCAUCUUCUACUUAUGGUCAUCAAACUCUUUGGUCCCGAGAGCUUUAGUGAAGGGGUUGGUUAGAUUUUUUUUUCUAUCAAUUUUCAGCAGUUCGACAUCACCUCGAUCGAUGAUCUUACAGAUCAGGUGAUAGUGACACAGAAUAUGUUUAGUUCUUUAAUGAGACUUGGGUUCUUUAGCUUGAGCGAUUGCACCAGUGUUAUCAUAAUAUAGUAGAACUGGACCUUCAACUAAGAGAACCACUCCAAGUUUGCAGAUGAACUUCCUCAACCAAAUAGGUUCCUUUGCAGCAUUGGAUGCCGCAAUAUAUUUCACUUUGCAUACUAAAUUAGUUACUAUGUUUUGCUUGGAAUUCUUCCAACAGAUCGCUCCACCAUAUAAAGUAAAAAUGUAGCUAGACACACUCUUGCUGUCAUCAUGAUUUAGCUAAAAAUUAGAAUCAGUAUAUCCCAUAAAUUUAAAAUCAGUAUCUCUAUAAAUUAGCCAUUGAUCCUUAGUAUUUAUCAAAUACUUAAGGAUUAUCUUUACAACUUUUCAAUGGUUUUCAUCCGGAUCAAACUGAUACCUACUCACUAUCCCUAGUGAGUAGGUCACAUCCAGCCUCGUACAUAUCAUAGCAUACAUGAUAGAUCUCACUAUUGAGGUAUAUGGGAUUCUACUCAUAUGCUCUCUCUCUUGAGUUGUCGGACAAUCAUUUUAGAGAGAGUAAUUUCUUGGCCUAUCGGUAGAUAGUCUUUUUUAAAAUUUUUCAUACUGAAUCGUUUCAGCAUGGUAUCGAUGUAUGUGGAUUGGGACAACUCAAGUAAUCUUUUAGAUCUAUCUUUAUAGAUCUUCAUCCCUAGAAUGUAGGAUGCUUCUCCCAAAUCUUUUCUGGAGAACUAUGAUGAUAGCUACAACUUUAUAUUUUAUAAAGUAGGGAUGCCAUUUUUUAUUAAUAGUAUGUCAUCUACAUACAAUACAAGGAAUAUGACCACAGAACUAUUAGCCCAUUUAUAGAUGCAGGACUCCUCUUUGUUCUUAAUAAAGCCAUACAUUUUGAUCAUCUUAUCACAUGUUCCAACUUCGAGAAAGCUUGCUUCAGUCCAUAAAUUGAUAUGUUUAGCUUGCACACUUUGGAUUCAUUUAUAGAUGUGAAUCCUUCAUGUUGUAUCAUAUACACCUCUUCUUCCAACUUUUCAUUGAGGAAAAUAGUUUUGACAUCCAUUUGUCAGAUCUUAUAAUCUAGGUGUGCCGCUAUAGCAAGUAUAAUCCGAGUGGACUUGAGUAUUGCUGUAGGAGAGAAUGUCUUAUCAUAGUCAGCAUCAUAACAUUGACGAUAUCCCUUGGCAACUAGACGGGCUUUAUAGGUCUUUACCUUUUCGGCUGCUUUUCUUUUUUUUU
This 27604-nucleotide long non-coding RNA is filed under the name Elaeis guineensis (African oil palm). RNAcentral describes it as "long non-coding RNA (EGUI_LNC018063)". Lineage: Eukaryota; Viridiplantae; Streptophyta; Magnoliopsida; Arecales; Arecaceae. The record is from RNAcentral.